RNAcentral lists this ribosomal RNA (1506 nucleotides) under Klebsiella sp. enrichment culture clone SRC_DSA15. Its description in RNAcentral is "bacterial SSU rRNA". It matches the Rfam family "Bacterial small subunit ribosomal RNA". The record is from RNAcentral. Lineage: Bacteria; Pseudomonadati; Pseudomonadota; Gammaproteobacteria; Enterobacterales; Enterobacteriaceae.
AGAGUUUGAUCAUGGCUCAGAUUGAACGCUGGCGGCAGGCCUAACACAUGCAAGUCGAGCGGUAGCACAGAGAGCUUGCUCUCGGGUGACGAGCGGCGGACGGGUGAGUAAUGUCUGGGAAACUGCCUGAUGGAGGGGGAUAACUACUGGAAACGGUAGCUAAUACCGCAUAAUGUCGCAAGACCAAAGUGGGGGACCUUCGGGCCUCAUGCCAUCAGAUGUGCCCAGAUGGGAUUAGCUAGUAGGUGGGGUAACGGCUCACCUAGGCGACGAUCCCUAGCUGGUCUGAGAGGAUGACCAGCCACACUGGAACUGAGACACGGUCCAGACUCCUACGGGAGGCAGCAGUGGGGAAUAUUGCACAAUGGGCGCAAGCCUGAUGCAGCCAUGCCGCGUGUGUGAAGAAGGCCUUCGGGUUGUAAAGCACUUUCAGCGGGGAGGAAGGCGAUAAGGUUAAUAACCUUGUCGAUUGACGUUACCCGCAGAAGAAGCACCGGCUAACUCCGUGCCAGCAGCCGCGGUAAUACGGAGGGUGCAAGCGUUAAUCGGAAUUACUGGGCGUAAAGCGCACGCAGGCGGUCUGUCAAGUCGGAUGUGAAAUCCCCGGGCUCAACCUGGGAACUGCAUUCGAAACUGGCAGGCUAGAGUCUUUUAGAGGGGGGGUAGAAUUCCAGGUGUAGCGGUGAAAUGCGUAGAGAUCUGGAGGAAUACCGGUGGCGAAGGCGGCCCCCCUGGACAAAGACUGACGCUCAGGUGCGAAAGCGUGGGGAGCAAACAGGAUUAGAUACCCUGGUAGUCCACGCCGUAAACGAUGUCGAUUUGGAGGUUGUGCCCUUGAGGCGUGGCUUCCGGAGCUAACGCGUUAAAUCGACCGCCUGGGGAAUACGGCCGCAAGGUUAAAACUCAAAUGAAUUGACGGGGGCCCGCACAAGCGGUGGAGCAUGUGGUUUAAUUCGAUGCAACGCGAAGAACCUUACCUGGUCUUGACAUCCACAGAACUUUCCAGAGAUGGAUUGGUGCCUUCGGGAACUGUGAGACAGGUGCUGCAUGGCUGUCGUCAGCUCGUGUUGUGAAAUGUUGGGUUAAGUCCCGCAACGAGCGCAACCCUUAUCCUUUGUUGCCAGCGGUCCGGCCGGGAACUCAAAGGAGACUGCCAGUGAUAAACUGGAGGAAGGUGGGGAUGACGUCAAGCCAUCAUGGCCCUUACGACCAGGGCUACACACGUGCUACAAUGGCAUAUACAAAGAGAAGCGACCUCGCGAGAGCAAGCGGACCUCAUAAAGUAUGUCGUAGUCCGGAUUGGAGUCUGCAACUCGACUCCAUGAAGUCGGAAUCGCUAGUAAUCGUAGAUCAGAAUGCUACGGUGAAUACGUUCCCGGGCCUUGUACACACCGCCCGUCACACCAUGGGAGUGGGUUGCAAAAGAAGUAGGUAGCUUAACCUUCGGGAGGGCGCUUACCACUUUGUGAUUCAUGACUGGGGUGAAGUCGUAACAAGGUAACCGUA